UAACUGGCUUGUCGCGGCCAAGUGUGCGUAGCGAGGUUGACUUGUCGGCUCCUCCUAUCAUUGAGACGCAGAAGUCCCAAGGUGCCGGAUUGUUCACCCGCCAACAGGGAACGUGAGCUGGGUUUAGACCGUCGUGAGACAGGUU
This 145-nucleotide non-coding RNA is filed under the name Symbiodinium microadriaticum. RNAcentral's name for it is "Eukaryotic large subunit ribosomal RNA". It matches the Rfam family "Eukaryotic large subunit ribosomal RNA", at positions 2827 to 2984 of the family's 3401-position model. Lineage: Eukaryota; Dinophyceae; Suessiales; Symbiodiniaceae. The record is from Rfam by way of RNAcentral.